Molecule: non-coding RNA, 125 nt
Organism: Hordeum vulgare subsp. vulgare (domesticated barley)
Lineage: Eukaryota; Viridiplantae; Streptophyta; Magnoliopsida; Poales; Poaceae
Source: Rfam
AAAGUACUUUCUCCGUUCAAAAAUACUUGUCAGAGUAAUGGAUGCAUUUAGAUGUAUUUUAGUUCUAUAUACAUCUAAUUUUAUUCAUUUCUUGGACAAGUAUUUCCAAUCAGAGGGAGUAUAUG